UGUGUGGAAAGCUGUCUGCCCUGUGGAAGACUACAUCCCUGGUGUGGGGGGACUUUGUGCCUGAUGGACUGGAAGGCUGGUAGACCUGAGGUGGCUAGCGAAUCCAAGGGGGGCUGAAGGAAGUCCUGAAGAUUGGAAGACAGUGGGCUGGAGAAUCCUGUUGAGGCCAGGAGUGGGCCAGGUUUAACAGGCGCUCUUCCAGCAUUUUGAAGGGAUUAAGGAAGAAACUCUGAGGUGGUGCAUCUUACUACUACUACUACUGCUGCUUGUGUGGGUUGGCUGUGUACUGCUUGGAUCGCAUGGGAUAAAGAAUACAGGGCUUUCUACAGUUGGAAGAGAUGGAGAGGAGGGGCAGUGACAUAAUUAUUUCAACCUCAUCCAAUCAAGGAAAAAAAAAAGCCGGGCAUCCAUUAAAAAAAAUACAAGGUAUUCUAUGAAUGGUGGCAGUGCCAGGCAAGAGACCCCCCCCUCAGUAAGCGGAGGGGAAGCCAUAUGGAAUGGGACCCAAAAGAUGGCAGCUACUACAGUGAUUUUCAGCCUCCCCCAUGGCCCAUUGGGUAUGAGCUAU
This is a long non-coding RNA of Rana temporaria (common frog), 568 nucleotides long. RefSeq lists it as uncharacterized. The record is from RefSeq and is a predicted model, not a curated record. NCBI's taxonomy places the organism in Eukaryota, Metazoa, Chordata, Amphibia, Anura, Ranidae. The transcript has 3 exons.